Long non-coding RNA from Triticum aestivum (bread wheat), 173 nucleotides. RefSeq lists it as uncharacterized. Lineage: Eukaryota; Viridiplantae; Streptophyta; Magnoliopsida; Poales; Poaceae. The transcript has 3 exons. The record is from RefSeq and is a predicted model, not a curated record.
GGUAGAUGGCGAUGACACAGAUGAGGAGCUUAGGCGAGAGAACACUACUUCAGUUAAUACACUAUCCAGUACUGCUAGUUCUCAUCUCACUUGUUGUGCUUCUUGUACUGGGAGCACUCUUUGUUAUCCCAAGAUCUAACAUCAAAGGCAACAUGGUGAAUCUAGCACAGGCA